GAUGAACGCUGGCGGCGUGCUUAAUACAUGCAAGUCGAGCGAAGCACUUUAACGGAAUUCUCCGGAAGGAAGGUAAAGUGACUGAGCGGCGGACGGGUGAGUAACGCGUGGGUAACCUGCCUUAUACAGGGGGAUAACAGUUAGAAAUGGCUGCUAAUACCGCAUAAGCGCACAGGGCCGCAUGGCCCGGUGUGAAAAACUCCGGUGGUAUAAGAUGGACCCGCGUCUGAUUAGCUGGUUGGUGGGGUAACGGCCCACCAAGGCGAUUAUGGGUAGCCGGGUUGAGAGACCGACCGGCCAGAUUGGGACUGAGAUACGGCCCAG
RNAcentral lists this ribosomal RNA (324 nucleotides) under uncultured bacterium. RNAcentral's name for it is "bacterial SSU rRNA". It matches the Rfam family "Bacterial small subunit ribosomal RNA", at positions 28 to 334 of the family's 1533-position model. The record is from RNAcentral.